AACGAACGCUGGCGGCAGGCCUAAAACAUGCAAGUCGAACGCCCUAGCAAUAGGGAGUGGCGCACGGGUGAGUAACGCGUGGGAACGUGCCCUUCAGUACGGAACAACGUCGGGAAACUGACGCUAAUACCGUAUAAUAUCUCCGGAUCAAAGAUUUAUCGCUGAAGGAUCGGCCCGCGUCUGAUUAGCUAGUUGGUGAGGUAAUGGCUCACCAAGGCUACGAUCAGUAGCUGGUCUGAGAGGAUGAUCAGCCACACUGGGACUGAGACACGGCCCAGACGCCUACGGGAGGCAGCAGUUAGGAAGAUUGGACAAUGGGCGAAAGCCUGAUCCAGCCAUGCCGCGUGUGUGAUGAAGGCCUUAGGGUUGUAAAGCACUUUCGUUGGGGAUGAUAAUGACCGUACCCAAAGAAGAAGCCACGGCUAAAUUCGUGCCAGCAGCCGCCGUAA
Molecule: ribosomal RNA, 449 nt
Filed under: uncultured bacterium
Lineage: Bacteria
Description: partial 16S ribosomal RNA
Rfam family: Bacterial small subunit ribosomal RNA
Source: RNAcentral